RNAcentral lists this non-coding RNA (162 nucleotides) under Eucalyptus grandis. RNAcentral's name for it is "Bacterial small subunit ribosomal RNA". It matches the Rfam family "Bacterial small subunit ribosomal RNA", at positions 961 to 1369 of the family's 1533-position model. Lineage: Eukaryota; Viridiplantae; Streptophyta; Magnoliopsida; Myrtales; Myrtaceae. The record is from Rfam by way of RNAcentral.
ACGAAGAUCCCAUUGGAUUCCGGAAGCUCGUAGCAUUGGUCCCGAUAAACCCCAAUUUAUUGAGAAUAAAAACCCGUCCUCAGUUCAGAUUGCAGGCUGCAACUCGCCUGCAUGAAGCCGGAAUCGCUAGUAAUCGCCGGUCAGCCAUACGGCGGUGAAUUC